RNAcentral lists this ribosomal RNA (844 nucleotides) under uncultured bacterium. RNAcentral's name for it is "bacterial SSU rRNA". It matches the Rfam family "Bacterial small subunit ribosomal RNA", at positions 553 to 1397 of the family's 1533-position model. The record is from RNAcentral.
ACUGGGCGUAAAGCGCGCGUAGGUGGCUUGAUAAGCCGGUUGUGAAAGCCCCGGGCUCAACCUGGGAACGGCAUCCGGAACUGUCAGGCUAGAGUGCAGGAGAGGAAGGUAGAAUUCCCGGUGUAGCGGUGAAAUGCGUAGAGAUCGGGAGGAAUACCAGUGGCGAAGGCGGCCUUCUGGACUGACACUGACACUGAGGUGCGAAAGCGUGGGUAGCAAACAGGAUUAGAUACCCUGGUAGUCCACGCCGUAAACGAUGUCGACUAGCCGUUGGGCUCCUUGAGAGCCUUGUGGCGGAGUUAACGCAUUAAGUCGACCGCCUGGGGAGUACGGCCGCAAGGUUAAAACUCAAUUGAAUUGACGGGGGCCCGCACAAGCGGUGGAGCAUGUGGUUUAAUUCGAUGCAACGCGAAGAACCUUACCUACCCUUGACAUCCUGCGAAUCAGGUAGAGAUACCUGAGUGCCUUCGGGAGCGCAGAGACAGGUGCUGCAUGGCUGUCGUCAGCUCGUGUUGUGAAAUGUUGGGUUAAGUCCCGUAACGAGCGCAACCCUUGUCCUUAUUUGCCAGCGAUUCGGUCGGGAACUCUAAGGAGACUGCCGGUGACAAACCGGAGGAAGGUGGGGACGACGUCAAGUCAUCAUGGCCCUUACGGGUAGGGCUACACACGUGCUACAAUGGCCGGUACAAAGGGCGGCGAGCUCGCGAGAGUCAGCAAAUCCCUUAAAGCCGGUCUCAGUCCGGAUCGGAGUCUGCAACUCGACUCCGUGAAGUCGGAAUCGCUAGUAAUCGUGGAUCAGAAUGCCACGGUGAAUACGUUCCCGGGCCUUGCACACACCGCCCGU